AGUCGUUUAUUAUCUGGUGUGGUAUCAUCAAGAUUCACAUGAAACCUAGUUGUUUCAAUGGUGAUGAUGAGAAUCUUGAUGAUGCUGCAUCGGAAAAAAAUGACU
This 105-nucleotide microRNA precursor is filed under the name Digitalis purpurea (common foxglove). RNAcentral's name for it is "miR172a stem-loop (dpr-MIR172a)". Its record names the gene dpr-MIR172a. Lineage: Eukaryota; Viridiplantae; Streptophyta; Magnoliopsida; Lamiales; Plantaginaceae. The record is from miRBase by way of RNAcentral.